AUACGUAGGUGACAAGCGUUAUCCGGAUUUACUGGGCGUAAAGGGCGUGUAGGCGGUCUUGCAAGUCAGAAGUGAAAUUCCUGAGCUCAACUCGGGCGCUGCUUCUGAAACUGCAGGACUUGAGUGCUGGAGGGGAUAGCGGAAUUCCUAGUGGAGCGGUAAAAUGCGCAGAUAUUAGGAAGAACACCGGUGGCGAAGGCGGCUAGCUGGACAGUAACUGACGCUGAGGCGCGAAAGCGUGGGGAGCAAACAGGAUUAGAUACCCUGGUAGUCCACGCCGUGAACGAUGAAUACUAGGUGUAGGGGGUAUCGACUCCCUCUGUGCCGCAGUUAACACAAUAAGUAUUCCGCCUGGGGAGUACGGCCGCAAGGUUGAAACUCAAAUGAAUUGACGGGG
This 397-nucleotide ribosomal RNA is filed under the name uncultured bacterium. Its description in RNAcentral is "partial 16S ribosomal RNA". It matches the Rfam family "Bacterial small subunit ribosomal RNA", at positions 523 to 918 of the family's 1533-position model. The record is from RNAcentral.